RNAcentral lists this ribosomal RNA (297 nucleotides) under uncultured bacterium. Its description in RNAcentral is "partial 16S ribosomal RNA". It matches the Rfam family "Bacterial small subunit ribosomal RNA", at positions 775 to 1067 of the family's 1533-position model. The record is from RNAcentral.
GGAUUAGAUACCCUGGUAGUCCACGCCGUAAACGAUGAGUGCUAGACGUUGGAAAUUAAUUUUUCAGUGUCGUAGUUAACGCAUUAAGCACUCCGCCUGGGGAGUACGGUCGCAAGAUUAAAACUCAAAGGAAUUGACGGGGGCCCGCACAAGCGGUGGAGCAUGUGGUUUAAUUCGACGCAACGCCAAGAACCUUACCAGCUCUUGACAUUGCUAAGUCGCGAGUUUUAGAGAUAAAACUCUUCAGUUCGGCUGGACUUAGUACAGGUGCUGCAUGGCUGUCGUCAGCUCGUGUCG